GCGAUCUUACUUGAACAAUAUCUGUUCUAUAGACUCGCACCUCAUUAUCCUUUAGCACAAAAAAAAAAACUAUGGGAGAAAAUACUCAGAACUUGUGCUUUGACAAGAA
RNAcentral lists this small nucleolar RNA (109 nucleotides) under Corchorus capsularis. RNAcentral's name for it is "snoRNA Plant_U3". The record is from RNAcentral. Lineage: Eukaryota; Viridiplantae; Streptophyta; Magnoliopsida; Malvales; Malvaceae.